This 466-nucleotide long non-coding RNA is filed under the name Populus tremula. Its description in RNAcentral is "long non-coding RNA (PTRE_LNC001390)". Lineage: Eukaryota; Viridiplantae; Streptophyta; Magnoliopsida; Malpighiales; Salicaceae. The record is from RNAcentral.
GGCAUACGAUCUGCUACCUGAAUUAGAGAAGAAGAAGACGCCAAAAGAACCGAUCUGCAGAGAAGCAGAUCAAAGAGAACAGAUUGAAAACAAAAAAAAAAUUAAAAUCUACUGCUGUUUGUGCGUUGUUUCCCUUGUUGCAGGUGGCGGUGACCUCCACCGCCGGCGUGGGAAGACGGAGGAGAAGAAGACAUCCCGGACCCCUUUUCUUUUUUUGGUUUCUCACGGCGGCGCGUGAACCCACGCGCCGCCAGUGGCGGUGGCACGUGGGGAGACGCGCCGCCAGUGUUGUUCCGGGGUGCAGAUGGGCUUCAAUGCAAUUCUGGAGUUUUUAGGGACCAUUUUGUAAAUUUUAAAGUUUUAAUGUAAUUUUUGUUUAUUUAUUUUAAAUUUGUAAUAUGUGAAUGUAAAAGAAAAAAGAAGAAAAUAAAAGAAAAUAAAUAAUAAAAAGAGAUGUGUGCUUGUU